This 253-nucleotide ribosomal RNA is filed under the name uncultured bacterium. RNAcentral's name for it is "partial 16S ribosomal RNA". It matches the Rfam family "Bacterial small subunit ribosomal RNA", at positions 524 to 776 of the family's 1533-position model. The record is from RNAcentral.
UACAGAGGUCUCAAGCGUUGUUCGGAUUCAUUGGGCGUAAAGGGUGCGUAGGCGGCGGGGCAAGUCAGGUGUGAAAUCCCGGAGCUCAACUCCGGAACUGCACUUGAUACUGCCUCGCUAGAGUACUGGAGAGGAGACUGGAAUUUACAGUGUAGCAGUGAAAUGCGUAGAGAUCGUAAGGAAGACCAGUGGCGAAGGCGAGUCUCUGGACAGUUACUGACGCUGAGGCACGAAGGCCAGGGGAGCAAACGGG